Molecule: unclassified non-coding RNA, 326 nt
Filed under: Hevea brasiliensis (rubber tree)
Lineage: Eukaryota; Viridiplantae; Streptophyta; Magnoliopsida; Malpighiales; Euphorbiaceae
Source: RNAcentral
AAGGGCUGAGGACCCACAAGUGUCCCAGCUGGCACGCGCGAGCUCCACUGAAGUUCGAUACACCACUGCUUUUAGCGAUGAGAAUCCACAAGCAUGUUCUAUCAUGUGAUCGACUGCGAUAAGAUAAAAAUUAUUGGGUGUUGUUAAUUAAUUUGGAAUUUAGGGUUAAUUCUUAUAGGUUUGGUGAUUUUGCUUUUUUGUAUGGGUGUUUUUGCAAUUAUUUAGUUUGUUUUGUGAGGUUCAAUUCUGUAUUAUUAGAACCUUUUAGUAAAAAAGAAACAAAUUAUCCUUGUAUAAAGUGUUAAAUUUUAGAAUGUGUUUAAUAG